ACGAGUUAGGGUCUUUCCGGCCCGACCUCUCAACCCUGUGUUUACUGAACCUUUGUUGCUUCGGCGGGCCCGUCUCACGACCGUCGGGGGACCGUAAGACGUUCUCUGACCCGUGUCCGCCGGUGGCCAAACUCAACAAACUCUGGUUUAAAAUGUGUCAUGGUCUGAGUACAAUUUUUAAUUAAAAGUA
RNAcentral lists this unclassified non-coding RNA (190 nucleotides) under uncultured Herpotrichiellaceae. RNAcentral describes it as "sequence contains ITS1". Lineage: Eukaryota; Fungi; Ascomycota; Eurotiomycetes; Chaetothyriales; Herpotrichiellaceae. The record is from RNAcentral.